CAGAGGUCCCGAGCGUUGUUCGGAUUCACUGGGCGUAAAGGGUGCGUAGGCGGUCGGGUAAGUCUGAUGUGAAAUCUCACAGCUUAACUGUGAAACUGCAUUGGAUACUAUUCGGCUUGAGAGUUGGAGGGGGGACUGGAAUUCUUGGUGUAGCAGUGAAAUGCGUAGAUAUCAAGAGGAACACCAGUGGCGAAGGCGAGUCCCUGGACAACUUCUGACGCUGAGGCACGAAAGCUAGGGGAGCAAACAGGAUUAGAUACCCUGGUAGUCCUAGCUGUAAACGGUGCUUAUUUGCUGUAAAAGGAAUCGACCCCUUUUGUAGGCGUAGCAAACGCGUUAAAUAAGCCGCCUGGGAAGUACGGUCGCAAGAUUA
RNAcentral lists this ribosomal RNA (373 nucleotides) under uncultured organism. Its description in RNAcentral is "bacterial SSU rRNA". It matches the Rfam family "Bacterial small subunit ribosomal RNA", at positions 526 to 896 of the family's 1533-position model. The record is from RNAcentral.